Molecule: non-coding RNA, 809 nt
Filed under: Pentacheles laevis
Lineage: Eukaryota; Metazoa; Arthropoda; Malacostraca; Decapoda; Polychelidae
Source: RNAcentral
AAAAAAUUUUAUUUUUGUUUUGUUUUUUUGCUUUAAGAAUGAAAUACAUGUAAAUUUUUUUGUGGGGAAAGAGUGGUUUAAAAAAAGCUUUUUAGUUCGCAGUGUAUAGAAUUAAACUUUGUAAGAGGAAUCUUGAUUUGGUAAUUUUUUAGUUAAAUCUGACAAAAUUUGUGCCAGCAGUCGCGGUUAUACUUAGAGGUUGAGUAGAAAUUUGUUGGCAACUAAUUGGUUGUUUGGUUGUCUUGUUGUUUGAAAUUUAAUGAGGAUAAUAAGGUAGAAUUGGUUUGUUUUGUGUUAAGGGGAGACAGGAGACAGAAAAAAUGAGGGUUAGGAAGUUAAAGGGAUAAACUAGGAUUAGAUACCCUAUUAUACUUUAAAAAGUUUAUGUUGCUAGGAGAUUAAUAGUUAUAGUCUUUAAAUUUAAAGAAUUUGGCGGUGUCUUAGUCCUGUUAGAGGAACCUGUCUUAUAAAACGAUAAACCACGAAAAAUCUUACUUGUUUAAAUUAUUUAGUUUGUAUACCGUCAUUAUAGAGGACUUUAAGAGAAAGGAAUAAGUUGUUAAAAUUAAGUGGAGUUAAGAAUAUUAGAUCAAGGUGCAGUUAAUAGAUGAGGUAAGAUGGGUUACAAUGUAAUUAAUAUAAUACGGAUUGAAAGAGGAAAGUAUUUCAUAAAGGAGGAUUUAAUUGUAAGUAGAUUUUAAUAUGGUUUACUGAUAGGGGCUCUAAGUUAUGUACAUAUUGCCCGUCGCUUUCGUUAAUUAAAAUGAAAUAAGUCGUAACACAGUAAAUGUACUGGAAAGUGUAUUUGG